UACGGGGGGGGCAAGCGUUGUUCGGAAUUACUGGGCGUAAAGGGCUCGUAGGCGGCCAACUAAGUCGGAUGUGAAAUCCCCAGGCUUAACCUGGGAACUGCAUCCGAUACUGGAUGGCUUGAAUCCGGGAGAGGGAUGCAGAAUUCCAGGUGUAGCGGUGAAAUGCGUAGAUAUCGGGAGGAACACCAGUGGCGAAGGCGGCUUCCUGGCCUGCUCUUGACGCUGAGGCGCGAAAGCUAGGGUAGCAAACGGG
Molecule: ribosomal RNA, 253 nt
Filed under: uncultured bacterium
Lineage: Bacteria
Description: partial 16S ribosomal RNA
Rfam family: Bacterial small subunit ribosomal RNA
Source: RNAcentral